UGGGGGAUAUUGCACAAUGGGCUAAAGCCUGAUGCAGCGACGCCGCGUGGGGGAUGAAGGCUUUCGGGUUGUAAACCUCUUUCGCUAUCGAACAAGGCCCGCUUAGGGUGGGUUGAGGGUAGGUGGAGAAGAAGCGCCGGCUAACUACGUGCCAGCAGCCGCGGUAAUACGUAGGGCGCGAGCGUUGUCCGGAAUUAUUGGGCGUAAAGGGCUUGUAGGCGGCUUGUUGCGCCUGCUGUGAAAACGCGGGGCUUAACUUCGCGCGUGCAGUGGGUACGGGCAGGCUUGAGUGUGGUAGGGGUGACUGGAAUUCCAGGUGUAGCGGUGGAAUGCGCAGAUAUCUGGAGGAACACCGAUGGCGAAGGCAGGUCACUGGGCCAUUACUGACGCUGAGGAGCGAAAGCAUGGGUAGCGAACAGG
Molecule: ribosomal RNA, 420 nt
Filed under: bacterium
Lineage: Bacteria
Description: partial 16S ribosomal RNA
Rfam family: Bacterial small subunit ribosomal RNA
Source: RNAcentral